RNAcentral lists this ribosomal RNA (483 nucleotides) under uncultured bacterium. RNAcentral's name for it is "partial 16S ribosomal RNA". It matches the Rfam family "Bacterial small subunit ribosomal RNA", at positions 28 to 507 of the family's 1533-position model. The record is from RNAcentral.
GACGAACGCUGGCGGCGUGCUUAACACAUGCAAGUCGAACGCUGAAGCUCAGCUUUUGUUGGGUGGAUGAGUGGCGAACGGGUGAGUAACACGUGAGUAACCUGCCUCCUUCUUUGGGAUAACGCCCGGAAACGGGUGCUAAUACUGGAUAUUCACUGGUCUUCGCAUGGGGGUUGGUGGAAAGGGUUUUUCUGGUGGGGGAUGGGCUCGCGGCCUAUCAGCUUGUUGGUGGGGUGAUGGCCUACCAAGGCUUUGACGGGUAGCCGGCCUGAGAGGGUGACCGGUCACAUUGGGACUGAGAUACGGCCCAGACUCCUACGGGAGGCAGCAGUGGGGAAUAUUGCACAAUGGGCGCAAGCCUGAUGCAGCGACGCCGCGUGAGGGAUGGAGGCCUUCGGGUUGUGAACCUCUUUCGCUCAUGGUCAAGCCGCAACAAUGGUUGUGGUGAGGGUAGUAGGUAAAGAAGCGCCGGCUAACUACGUG